RNAcentral lists this ribosomal RNA (448 nucleotides) under Magnusiomyces sp. JSD-2021a. RNAcentral describes it as "partial large subunit ribosomal RNA". It matches the Rfam family "Eukaryotic large subunit ribosomal RNA", at positions 38 to 667 of the family's 3401-position model. The record is from RNAcentral. Lineage: Eukaryota; Fungi; Ascomycota; Dipodascomycetes; Dipodascales; Dipodascaceae. RNAcentral also lists the same sequence under 1 other name.
GCAUAUCAAAUAAGCGGAGGAAAAGAAACCAACAGGGAUUGCCUUAGUAACGGCGAGUGAAGCGGCAAAAGCUCAAUUUGAAAUCGCUUCGGCGAAUUGUAAUUGUAGUUGUCAGACUUUGGCGGAAGUUUUUUGGAACAAAACGUCAUAGAGGGUGAUAACCCCGUUGCCUUUGUCUAUUGUACAUCUACAGAGCGAGUCGAGUUGUUUGGGAAUGCAGCUCUAAUGGGUGGUAAACUCCAUCCAAGGCUAAAUAUUGCUGGGAGACCGAUAGCGAACAAGUACAGUGAUGGAAAGAUGAAAAGCACUUUGAAAAGAGGGUGAAAUAGCGUGUGAAAUUGUUGGAGGGGAAGGUGAUGGUAGGAAUAAGAGGGAGUAGUUGAGAACGAAUGUGUUUUUGGCUUCUCUCUCCGGCGCCUGCUUUCACACCCGUCUUGAAACACGGACC